Molecule: ribosomal RNA, 301 nt
Filed under: uncultured bacterium
Lineage: Bacteria
Description: partial 16S ribosomal RNA
Rfam family: Bacterial small subunit ribosomal RNA
Source: RNAcentral
CAGCCGCCACGGUAAUACGAAGGUCCCAAGCGUUGUUCGGAAUCACUGGGCGUAAAGGGAGCGUAGGCGGCGUGGUAAGUCAGAUGUGAAAUCCCGGGGCUCAACCCCGGAACUGCAUCCGAUACUGCCAUGCUUGAGGGUUGGAGAGGUAGCUGGAAUUCUUGGUGUAGCAGUGAAAUGCGUGGAUAUCAAGAGGAACACUCGUGGCGAAGGCGAGCUACUUGACAACAUCUGACGCUGAGGCUCGAAGGCCAGGGUAGCGAAAGGGAUUAGAUACCCCCGUAGUCCCUGUCUCUUAUAC